RNAcentral lists this ribosomal RNA (253 nucleotides) under uncultured bacterium. RNAcentral's name for it is "partial 16S ribosomal RNA". It matches the Rfam family "Bacterial small subunit ribosomal RNA", at positions 524 to 776 of the family's 1533-position model. The record is from RNAcentral.
UACGUAGGCAGCGAGCGUUGUUCGGAGUUACUGGGCGUAAAGGGUGUGUAGGCGGUUCUCUAAGUUUGGUGUGAAAUCUCCCGGCUCAACCGGGGGGGUGCGCCGAAAACUGGGGGACUCGAGUGCGGGAGGGGAGAGUAGAAUUCCUGGUGUAGCGGUGAAAUGCGUAGAUAUCAGGAGGAAUACCGGUGGUGUAGACGGCUCUCUGGACCGCCACUGACGCUGAGACACGAAAGCGUGGGUAGCAAACAGG